GAGGACUGAGCAUGGUGGCAUUGCAGCUGGUUUGAAACCAGCUGGUGGGGGUUCGAUUCCCCUUGUCCUUG
Molecule: transfer RNA, 71 nt
Filed under: Caiman latirostris (Broad-snouted caiman)
Lineage: Eukaryota; Metazoa; Chordata; Crocodylia; Alligatoridae
Description: tRNA-Ser
Rfam family: tRNA
About the family: Transfer RNA (tRNA) molecules are approximately 80 nucleotides in length. Their secondary structure includes four short double-helical elements and three loops (D, anti-codon, and T loops).
Source: RNAcentral